UACGUAGGGCGCGAGCGUUGUCCGGAAUUAUUGGGCGUAAAGAGCUCGUAGGCGGCCUGUUGCGUCUGCUGUGAAAUCCCGGGGCUUAACCCCGGGCGUGCAGUGGAUACGGGCAGGCUGGAGGCAGGCAGGGGAGAAUGGAAUUCCCGGUGUAGCGGUGAAAUGCGCAGAUAUCGGGAGGAACACCAGUGGCGAAGGCGGCCUUCUGGACCAGUACUGACGCUCAUGCACGAAAGCGUGGGGAGCAAACAGG
Molecule: ribosomal RNA, 253 nt
Filed under: uncultured bacterium
Lineage: Bacteria
Description: partial 16S ribosomal RNA
Rfam family: Bacterial small subunit ribosomal RNA
Source: RNAcentral